AUGGCUAGGGAAACGGCGCUGCCGUCGUGCUGGGCUGGGCCAUUUGGGGCGUCCUUAGGUCGCUCCCUUUUCUAUCAACGUCAAAUACAGAAGUCGCAGUCUCAGCCGCCGCCACGCCUCUCAUCCAGCACCACUCGGCAACCAAACCAGGACCAGAUCCAAGCAGAUCGCAUGAGCAAGAGGCGAAAGAGGAGCAACCUCGCCGGCCGGCAUCCCCUGCCCCAAUGCCGUCGUGAAGAUGAAUGGCGAGAUUGGCCCAACCUGCCGACGGUACUCGUCGACGACAUCACCGACAGACUUCUCCUCUACGACAUGGCCCGAGCGAGGGACAUUCGCUUCCGCGCCACGUGCAAGGAAUGGAGGAACUGCACCGCUGACCCGAGCGAGGGACGCAAUCAACUGGACCCCCGCUUCCGCCUGCGCCACUAG
RNAcentral lists this ribosomal RNA (429 nucleotides) under Triticum aestivum (bread wheat). Its description in RNAcentral is "partial small subunit ribosomal RNA". Lineage: Eukaryota; Viridiplantae; Streptophyta; Magnoliopsida; Poales; Poaceae. The record is from RNAcentral.